This 484-nucleotide ribosomal RNA is filed under the name uncultured bacterium. Its description in RNAcentral is "partial 16S ribosomal RNA". It matches the Rfam family "Bacterial small subunit ribosomal RNA", at positions 30 to 507 of the family's 1533-position model. The record is from RNAcentral.
AUUGAACGCUGGCGGCAUGCUUUACACAUGCAAGUCGAAGGGUAACAGGGUGCUUGCACCGCUGACGAGUGGCGAACGGGUGAGUAAUGCAUCGGAAUGUACCGUGUAAUGGGGGAUAGCUCGGCGAAAGCCGGAUUAAUACCGCAUACGCCCUGAGGGGGAAAGUGGGGGACCGAAAGGCCUCACGUUAUACGAGCAGCCGAUGUCUGAUUAGCUAGUUGGUGAGGUAAAGGCUCACCAAGGCGUCGAUCAGUAGCGGGUCUGAGAGGAUGAUCCGCCACACUGGGACUGAGACACGGCCCAGACUCCUACGGGAGGCAGCAGUGGGGAAUUUUGGACAAUGGGCGCAAGCCUGAUCCAGCCAUGCCGCGUGUCUGAAGAAGGCCUUCGGGUUGUAAAGGACUUUUGUCCGGGAGCAAAUCCUAGUGGUUAAUAACCGCUGGGUCUGAGAGUACCGGAAGAAUAAGCACCGGCUAACUACGUG